GCAUACGUCCUACGGGAGAAAGGGGGCUUCGGCUCCCGCUAUUGGAUGAGCCUAUGUCGGAUUAGCUAGUUGGUGAGGUAAAGGCUCACCAAGGCAACGAUCCGUAGCUGGUCUGAGAGGAUGAUCAGCCACAUCGGGACUGAGACACGGCCCGAACUCCUACGGGAGGCAGCAGUGGGGAAUAUUGGACAAUGGGGGCAACCCUGAUCCAGCCAUGCCGCGUGUGUGAAGAAGGCCUUCGGGUUGUAAAGCACUUUCAGCGAGGAAGAACGCCUAGUGGUUAAUACCCACUAGGAAAGACAUCACUCGCAGAAGAAGCACCGGCUAACUCCGUGCCAGCAGCCGCGGUAAUACGGAGGGUGCAAGCGUUAAUCGGAAUUACUGGGCGUAAAGCGCGCGUAGGUGGCUUGAUAAGCCGGUUGUGAAAGCCCCGGGCUCAACCUGGGAACGGCAUCCGGAACUGUCAAGCUAGAGUGCAGGAGAGGAAGGUAGAAUUCCCGGUGUAGCGGUGAAAUGCGUAGAGAUCGGGAGGAAUACCAGUGGCGAAGGCGGCCUUCUGGACUGACACUGACACUGAGGUGCGAAAGCGUGGGUAGCAAACAGGAUUAGAUACCCUGGUAGUCCACGCCGUAAACGAUGUCGACCAGCCGUUGGGUGCCUAGCGCACUUUGUGGCGAAGUUAACGCGAUAAGUCGACCGCCUGGGGAGUACGGCCGCAAGGUUAAAACUCAAAUGAAUUGACGGGGGCCCGCACAAGCGGUGGAGCAUGUGGUUUAAUUCGAUGCAACGCGAAGAACCUUACCUACUCUUGACAUCCUGCGAACUUGUGAGAGAUCACUUGGUGCCUUCGGGAACGCAGAGACAGGUGCUGCAUGGCUGUCGUCAGCUCGUGUUGUGAAAUGUUGGGUUAAGUCCCGUAACGAGCGCAACCCUUGUCCUUAUUUGCCAGCACGUAAUGGUGGGAACUCUAAGGAGACUGCCGGUGACAAACCGGAGGAAGGUGGGGACGACGUCAAGUCAUCAUGGCCCUUACGAGUAGGGCUACACACGUGCUACAAUGGCCGGUACAAAGGGUUGCCAACUCGCGAGAGUGAGCUAAUCCCGAAAAGCCGGUCUCAGUCCGGAUCGGAGUCUGCAACUCGACUCCGUGAAGUCGGAAUCGCUAGUAAUCGUGAAUCAGAAUGUCACGGUGAAUACGUUCCCGGGCCUUGUACACACCGC
Molecule: ribosomal RNA, 1221 nt
Filed under: Halomonas sp.
Lineage: Bacteria; Pseudomonadati; Pseudomonadota; Gammaproteobacteria; Oceanospirillales; Halomonadaceae
Description: bacterial SSU rRNA
Rfam family: Bacterial small subunit ribosomal RNA
Source: RNAcentral